AUUGAACGCUGGCGGCAUGCCUAACACAUGCAAGUCGAACGGUAACAGGCAUCUUGGUGCUGGAGUGAGGCGCACGGGGGAGUAUAGUGCCUGAAAGUAUCCAGGGUAGGGGGGGAAAGCGGCGGAAGACGGGCUCUAAUACCGCGUGCGUCGUGGGGGAGAGCGUGGGACAGCGUAGGACCGCUUGCUCUCGGGUGAGCCUAGGUCGGAUUAGCUAGUUGGUGGGGUAAAGGCCUACCAAGGCGACGAUCCGUAACUGGUCUGAGAGGAUGAUCAGACACACUGGAACUGAGACACGGCCCAGACUCCUACGGGAGGCAGCAGUGGGGAAUAUUGGACAAUGGGCGAAAGCCUGAUCCAGCAAUGCCGCGUGCGUGAAGAAGGUCUUCGGAUUGUAAAGCACUUUUAGUUGGGACGAAGGGGAGUAAGUUAAUACCGUGCUGUAUUGACGUUACCAACAGAAUAAGCACCGGCUAACUUCGUG
This 484-nucleotide ribosomal RNA is filed under the name uncultured bacterium. Its description in RNAcentral is "partial 16S ribosomal RNA". It matches the Rfam family "Bacterial small subunit ribosomal RNA", at positions 29 to 507 of the family's 1533-position model. The record is from RNAcentral.